CCCAAACCGACACAGGUGAUCAGGUAGAGAAUACCAAGGCGCUUGAGAGAACUCGGGUGAAGGAGCUAGGCAAAAUGGCACCGUAACUUCGGGAGAAGGUGCACCGCUUUUGGUGAUGGGAUUUACUCCCUAAGCUGAGGGCGGUCGAAGAUACCAGGCCCCUGCAACUGUUUAUUAAAAACACAGCACUCUGCAAACACGUAAGUGGACGUAUAGGGUGUGACGCCUGCCCGGUGCCGGAAGGUUAAUUGAUGGGGUUAGCGUAAGCGAAGCUCUUGAUCGAAGCCCCGGUAAACGGCGGCCGUAACUAUAACGGUCCUAAGGUAGCGAAAUUCCUUGUCGGGUAAGUUCCGACCUGCACGAAUGGCGUAAUGAUGGGGGCGCUGUCUCCACCCGAGACUCAGUGAAAUUGAAAUCGCGGUUAAGAUGCCGUGUACCCGCGGCUAGACGGAAAGACCCCGUGAACCUUUACUAUAGCUUUGCACUGAACUUUGAACCUAUCUGUGUAGGAUAGGUGGGAGGCUUUGAAGUCGAGACGCUAGUUUCGAUGGAGCCGUCCUUGGAAUACCACCCUGGUAUGUUUGAGGUUCUAACGUCGGCCCCUUAUCGGGGUUACGGACAGUGUAUGGUGGGUAGUUUGACUGGGGCGGUCUCCUCCCAAAGAGUAACGGAGGAGCACGAAGGUGUGCUAAUCAUGGUCGGAAAUCAUGAGGUUAGUGUAAAGGCAAAAGCACGCUUGACUGCGAGACAGACAUGUCGAGCAGGUACGAAAGUAGGUCUUAGUGAUCCGGUGGUUCUGUAUGGAAGGGCCAUCGCUCAACGGAUAAAAGGUACUCCGGGGAUAACAGGCUGAUACCGCCCAAGAGUUCACAUCGACGGCGGUGUUUGCCACCUCGAUGUCGGCUCAUCACAUCCUGGGGCUGAAGCCGGUCCCAAGGGUAUGGCUGUUCGCCAUUUAAAGUGGUACGCGAGCUGGGUUUAGAACGUCGUGAGACAGUUCGGUCCCUAUCUGCCGUGGGCGUUGGAGAUUUGAGAAGAGUUGUUCCUAGUACGAGAGGACCGGAAUGAACGAACCUCUGGUGUUCGGGUUGUCAUGCCAAUGGCAUUGCCCGGUAGCUACGUUCGGACGGGAUAACCGCUGAAAGCAUCUAAGCGGGAAGCCUCCUUCAAGAUGAGAUCUCCCUGGGACUUUAAGUCCCCUAAAGAGCCGUUGAAGACUACGACGUUGAUAGGUUGGGUGUGGAAGCGCAGCGAUGCGUUGAGCUAACCAAUACUAAUUGCUCGUGCGGCUUGAUC
Molecule: ribosomal RNA, 1296 nt
Filed under: metagenome
Description: bacterial LSU rRNA
Rfam family: Bacterial large subunit ribosomal RNA
Source: RNAcentral